UACGUAGGGUGCAAGCAUUAAUCGGAUUUAUUGGGCGUAAAGGGCGCGUAGGCUGGAUCGUAAGUCAGAUGUGAAAUCCCGGGGCUCAACCCCGGAACAGCAUUUGAAACUGUGAUCCUAGAGGAUAGGCGGAGAAAAUGGAAUUCCACAAGUAGCGGUGAAAUGCGUAGAUAUGUGGAAGAACACCGGUGGCGAAGGCGAUUUUCUAGCUUAGACCUGACGCUGAGGCGCGAAAGUUAGGGGAGCAAACAGG
Molecule: ribosomal RNA, 253 nt
Filed under: uncultured bacterium
Lineage: Bacteria
Description: partial 16S ribosomal RNA
Rfam family: Bacterial small subunit ribosomal RNA
Source: RNAcentral